This is a long non-coding RNA of Bactrocera dorsalis (oriental fruit fly), 461 nucleotides long. RefSeq lists it as uncharacterized. Lineage: Eukaryota; Metazoa; Arthropoda; Insecta; Diptera; Tephritidae. The record is from RefSeq and is a predicted model, not a curated record. The transcript is spliced from 2 exons.
AUGUAUCUACCUAUUUUUGACAGUUUUUCUUUCUUCCGAUGUCGGUAACUAAUAUCCGUGCAAGCACAGUUUGCGAAUCAAGAAGGAAUAAGGAAUAAUAGUUUCUUAAGCAUAUAAACAGCCAAUAAGAAGUGCCACAGCUGCCGUAGCGCAUCUAAAAGGCAACAGUUUCAUGAAUCAAAGGACGACACGACAAACAUUGCAUUUAGAAAAAAUACAUACAUUUGUACAUGCAUACAUACAUACAUACAUAUGUCCGUACAUGCCAUAUGCAUGAAUUUUUAACUAUGCGCAUAUAUUUUUAUCUAUCCCGAAAAAAGAAAGAGCCUUUUAAGAUAAAAUUUACAAGAAAUGAGUCAGAUUAUUUUUCAACGUAUAUCUUUAUUUAAAAAAUUUGGAACACAAAGCCUCAACUAUAUAACUAGUAAGCGUAAAUAAAUUGUUAAAAUGGAUUUAGAAGU